AGUGAACGCUGGCGGUAGGCCUAACACAUGCAAGUCGAACGGCAGCACAGUAAGAGCUUGCUCUUACGGGUGGCGAGUGGCGGACGGGUGAGGAAUACAUCGGAAUCUACUUUUUCGUGGGGGAUAACGUAGGGAAACUUACGCUAAUACCGCAUACGACCUACGGGUGAAAGCAGGGGAUCUUCGGACCUUGCGCGAUUGAAUGAGCCGAUGUCGGAUUAGCUAGUUGGGGGGGUAAAGGCCCACCAAGGCGAGGAUCCGUAGCGGGUCUGGGAGGAGGGGCAGCCACGCUGGAAUUGAGACGCGGUCCAGCCUCGUACGGGAGGCAGCAGUGGGGAAUAGUGGACAAUGGGCGGAAGCCUGAUCCAGCCAUGCCGCGGGGGGGAAGAAGGCCUGCGGGUUGUAAAGCCCUUUUGUUGGGAAAGAAAAGCAGCAGGUUAAUACCCCGCUGUUCGAACGGUACCCAAAGAAAAGGCACGGGCAAAUUUCGU
Molecule: ribosomal RNA, 491 nt
Filed under: uncultured bacterium
Lineage: Bacteria
Description: partial 16S ribosomal RNA
Rfam family: Bacterial small subunit ribosomal RNA
Source: RNAcentral